Molecule: long non-coding RNA, 722 nt
Organism: Triticum dicoccoides
Lineage: Eukaryota; Viridiplantae; Streptophyta; Magnoliopsida; Poales; Poaceae
Exons: 3
Source: RefSeq, a predicted model, not a curated record
UGAUUGAGCCUGUCUGACAUCUCUUCUUCCUCUCCUCGUUGGCCGUUCUCAACCAUCCAUCCACGCUGCCGCUGCUUCUUCUCCACCAUCUCAACCCCCCUGCUGUUGCUGCUGCUGCUGCUGCUGCACCUAGGUCGGCUGCUCUUCUUCCAUCUACCCGUUGAAAGCCUGCUGCUGCUUCGUUGCUUCACCUGCUUGCACUCACAGGUGGAUCUAAAGCAGGCUGAAUGGAAGCUGUUUCAGUUAAUCACUCCAGGCUCGCCCUUUCAAGUUAAUCACUCUUCCAGCUCAGGUGCAGUGCAGUCAUAUGUGCAGCUUAUGGUAUCAAGAAACUUGUGUGCGAACAAGUGAACGCCGUGAAAGAUACAAACUCAAUGUCCCUACAUCCCACAAUGUGACAGACUGACAGUUGACCAACGAGUCACUGCACUUUAUGAAAAUGCUGCUAAACUUGUUGGUAUGGAGGGCCCAACCAAUGAGAUUGUCAGUUGGCUGAAAGAUGAGGAGAAGAAGUUGAAGGUUGUAUCGAUAGUUGGUUUUGGAGGUUUGGGUAAAACAACACUUGCCAAUCAGGUAUACCAUAAGCUGGAGGGGGAAUUUCAGUGUGGUGCAUUUGUACAACUGUCUCAAAAGCCAAAUUUUCCCAAACUUUUGCAUAGUUUACUAACCAAACCUCCAAAAAAUCUUUUCAUGAUUGUGAUUUAAAUGUUCUUCUCGACCAA